This 471-nucleotide long non-coding RNA is filed under the name Monodelphis domestica (gray short-tailed opossum). RNAcentral's name for it is "lncRNA (ENSMODG00000042114.1)". The record is from RNAcentral. Lineage: Eukaryota; Metazoa; Chordata; Mammalia; Didelphimorphia; Didelphidae.
UAAGUAGACAAUAUACGACUGCUCCACACCAAUCUCAGUUUUGACCACACUUCAGAUUUUCAAAAUUUGUGACCAAAACCUCUUCAGUCUUCUGGCUUGGCCACCCUCAUUACUUCCUGUGUUCAAGGUCCUAUUCAUAGUCUGGUGAAAUCUAUGAAGAACAGAGAGGGUCAAGGGGAGAGUAUUGGGUGUACUCACAGUUGAGGUACAGGGCAUGAUAAUGAGAAAAAAAGAAAACAGGAAUUUGAUCUCCAGUAAAGAAGACAAAAUCAAAGUACAGGGAAGUAAAUAAUAACUAGGAUAUCAAUAGAGCUUUUAGUUUUGCAUUUCAUCCUUAAAAUAAUGCUAUAACAUUACCAUCCCCAUUAUAGAUAAGAUGGAGAGAAGUUCUGUGACUUGUCUAUGAUCAUACAACUAGUGUCUAGUAUGGUAUUUGAAUUCGGGUCUUGCUGAAAUAAGUGAUCUUCCCAG